GCUGAAUGGGGGGGAGGCGCCGCGGUAAGACGGAGGGUGCGGUCGUGAAUCUGAAUGAUGGGGCGUAAAGAGUGCGUAGGCGGUUGUGUAAGGGAGAUGGUAAAGACCUGGGCUCAAACGCGGAAGAGCAUUUGGAACUGGCGGACUAGAGUGCAGUAGAGGGAGGCAGAAUUCCAAGUGUAGCGGGGAAAUGCGUAGAGAUCGGGAGGAACACCGGUGGCGAAGGCGGCUCGCUGGGCAAUGACUGACGCUGAUGCACGAAAGCGUGGGGAGCAAACAGGAUUAGAUACCCUAGUAGUC
This 300-nucleotide ribosomal RNA is filed under the name uncultured Telluria sp. RNAcentral's name for it is "bacterial SSU rRNA". It matches the Rfam family "Bacterial small subunit ribosomal RNA", at positions 496 to 795 of the family's 1533-position model. The record is from RNAcentral. Lineage: Bacteria; Pseudomonadati; Pseudomonadota; Betaproteobacteria; Burkholderiales; Oxalobacteraceae.